AACGAACGCUGGCGGCAUGCCUAACACAUGCAAGUCGAACGAAGGCUUCGGCCUUAGUGGCGCACGGGUGCGUAACGCGUGGGAAUCUACCCUUAGGUUCGGAAUAACAGUUAGAAAUGACUGCUAAUACCGGAUGAUGACGUAAGUCCAAAGAUUUAUCGCCUAAGGAUGAGCCCGCGUAGGAUUAGCUUGUUGGUGAG
RNAcentral lists this ribosomal RNA (200 nucleotides) under uncultured bacterium. Its description in RNAcentral is "partial 16S ribosomal RNA". It matches the Rfam family "Bacterial small subunit ribosomal RNA", at positions 29 to 256 of the family's 1533-position model. The record is from RNAcentral.